RNAcentral lists this ribosomal RNA (251 nucleotides) under uncultured bacterium. Its description in RNAcentral is "partial 16S ribosomal RNA". It matches the Rfam family "Bacterial small subunit ribosomal RNA", at positions 57 to 305 of the family's 1533-position model. The record is from RNAcentral.
GCAAGUCGAACGGUAAAAUGAGAGCUUGCUCUCGAGGACGAGUGGCGCACGGUUGCGUAACGCGUAUACAAUCUACCUUUUACAGGGGGAUAGCCUUUAGAAAUGAAGAUUAAUAUCCCAUGGUAUUAUUGACUGGCAUCAGUUGAUAAUUAAAGUUUCGGCGGUAAAAGAUGAGUAUGCGUUCUAUUAGCUAGAUGGUGUGGUAACGGCACACCAUGGCAACGAUAGAUAGGGGCCCUGAGAGGGGGAUC